AUGUCAAAAACAAAUAGGGUAAUAAAGAUACCCGACCCUGCCAUCCAGAGGGAGCUAUUACUCUUUUACCUGAGGGCUUGCCUGCAGGUGCAGUGCAAGGUCGGGAAAGCCGGCACCUCUGUCCUCUCGGUGCCUGUGUGUCUCCGCGCUGGGCACGUUCCCAAGCCCUCUCCCAGCUAUUCGAAAUGUAGAAGUAAUUUUCACCAGCCAGGCCGCGCAACUGUGCUGCAGAACGUGAGCUUCCCUUUGUUGGCUCACAGCUGCGUGCCUCAGGCCUUCAGCAGCUGCGUAGCCCUCUGGGUACCUGGGCGAGACCUUGAGCUUGAGGGCAACAUGACCGGCCUUCGUCACCUUCAACCCUUUUAGUGCUUUUCUCUUGGACUGGGUGAAUCCAUGAGAGACGGGUGUUAGUCAAGCUCCAGUCUUUGGGUCCAGGGCUGGCUGUCCACACUCUGGAAGCCAGGAGGAGGCCGCUGGAGAUCUUGGCGUUCAGAAUGUGCAUGCUACUGGAGCGCUCUGCUCGCGGUAGGAAAUCCUCUCCCUCAAACAUACUUACUGCACUCCAGCCUAGAGACUUGACUGCCCGAUUUCUUCCUCCAGAGACGUGACCCCAAUCUUGUUCUUUUCAAAGGAGGGGCAGGAAAUGGGAAGCUAAUUCCCUCCUCAGCAGACACUCGACCCACCGCCUGUCUUGAUCCUCACUUUCCUUCUGGACGACAGACACCUGAUGCCAAGCCCUGAGUUUCUGGAAGCUCUGUGUGUUAAUUAGUUCUUCUUGACUUUCCUGUGUGUUAAUUAGUUCUUCUUGACUUUCCUCAUUGCCAGGUUAGCACCUGGCUUCCUCAGAUCGGCAAGGUCAGUUAUCAUAUGUGCAUUCCCUGUCCUUGUAGAUGUCCUUGCGAGUGUAAGUCUAGUAGCACUGGGAGGGCCGAAGGAUGGAUCUGUGCUGUGACUACGCUAAAAAUCACUAAAGUAUUCACUACAAAAGGGUAAAUUUUACGUGUAUAUAUAUAUAUAUAUAUUUUUUUUUUUUUUUUUCCUUUUGUAGACAGGGUCUCACUAUGCAGUUCAGGCUGGCCUUGGGCUCACUUUGUAGCCUGGUCGGGCCUCGAACUUAGCGAUCCUCCCGCUUCAGCCUCCCGAGUGCUGGGAUUACAGGUGUGUGCCACCAUGCCCGGCUUGUAUAUCUCAAUAACAUGCAUUUAAGAAAUGAACGAGUGUGUGCCAAAAGCCAUCUCUGUUCCACAGUGGACUCUGCAUUUCAGAGACGCAGUGGACCAGAGCAGCACAUGGAGGAAGCCCGGGACUGCGGUGGUUUAACUGAAGACCCGGCUAAGACACUCUCAGGUCCCGAAUCGUACCGCCUUGCAGCGCGGCAUUUCAGCCCUGCCCCUGGGAACCUGCGUCCUAGCGAGGUCUCUGUCCCCUCCGGCACCCACAACCUGAUGGAGAGGGGUUCAUUCCCGGCGGUUUCCAUCCGCAGCCAGCGGGCCAGGGCAGAAGCAGCGUGGGGAGAGCAGGCUGGCAGAGGAAGGCGGCCGGCGUCAUGGUGACCGGGAAGCCCAGGGGACAGGAGAGGUGCCCGGAGGCAGAGGCGCCCUUGCCGGCCGGCCCCUUCCCGCCCUUUCACCCGGGCCCUGCCGCAGGAGCACGUCUAGGUGUUCCCGGGGAUCCACCCACGGACCAGUCCUUCCGGAAGCUCCACCUCGGCACGCACAGGCUUGCGGGGACACUGUGGAUCUAACGCUCACCCCAGGCUCUCCGGGGCCUCCUGAGAGCGCACUGCGGACACCCUGGAGAACCUCUGUCCCGGCGCGGCGCAGUCGGGCAGCGCUUCCAACGUCUGAAAACAUUAAUUCUCCUAAGUGUCGCACCUGGACGCGCGCCUGGCCGUGCACCCCGCGGCGAUGGGAAGUGAGCACACAGUAGGGCGGCGACUCGGAACCGGGUCGCACCUCUCCUGCGCUCCCGCUCGCGGCACGGGGUCCGGUAGGUGCUCAGAAUUCAGGGCCACAGCGGACGUUGAGGGGUCCCUGGGAUUCUUCACGCAGCCCGGAGCGACAGCGCGAUGGCCUGUGCCGAGUGCCUAGGCCCUCCCGAGUCCAGCGGGCCUUCGGUCCGGUGCCGCCCGCCUGCAGCCGCUUCCGCACAUUCUGAGCGGCUUACCUCAUCGCUGCUUCACACAGCUAAGAAAACCGGGAAGGUGGCUAUCGUAUUUUUUAAGCAAUUAAAUGCUAAUUACUUGACAUUAAGUUGAGUUUUCUCCAAAUUUGUUCUUGAUUUCGUGGACCGUCCCAGCCUCGGCCCCGUUCGUUUUCACAGUUGAGUCUGCCUUCCUCCUGAGUGCUAGCUUCCAGAACCGGGGGGUCAGAGGCCUUCGGGCUGGCCAGUCAGCGAGCCAGACAGGUGGGGUCACCAAAUGCAGACAUGGAAAGCUCGAGAAUUUCCGAUGAAUCGUGAAAAUAUUUUUUCAGUGUAAGGGUGUUAUACAUACUGUGUGGGACAUGGCUAAACUAAAAAGGUACUUGUUAUUUAUCGGAAAUUCAAAUGGAACUGAAUAUUUUUUUUUUCGGGCAACCAUAGACCCCGGGGAAGUGGAGGGGGGGCGGCCCCAGCCCUGAGCCCUGGGCUCUAGACUGGGGCCAGGGCUCUCCUUACGGCAAGGGUCCUGGCACCAAACCUCCCAGUUCAUCCCUGCAGCUCUAACUCUCC
Molecule: long non-coding RNA, 2712 nt
Organism: Chinchilla lanigera (long-tailed chinchilla)
Lineage: Eukaryota; Metazoa; Chordata; Mammalia; Rodentia; Chinchillidae
Source: Ensembl